Molecule: long non-coding RNA, 345 nt
Organism: Armigeres subalbatus
Lineage: Eukaryota; Metazoa; Arthropoda; Insecta; Diptera; Culicidae
Exons: 3
Source: RefSeq, a predicted model, not a curated record
CGCGCGUUCUUGCAUCAACAAUUUUCUUCUAAUUUUCUUAAAGUUGAAGUAAGGUUUCCAAGAUUGCAAAUCAUUUCAAUGAAUCUGGAACAGAAAACCAAAUCCAAGAAAAUGACCACAGAACAAGUGAAGGAACUGAUUGCAGCUCGUGUGCAUUUCAAUAACCUUUUCACCAGGAAAUUUUUCGAUAAAAAAGCGGCCUGGAGGACUAUACAAGACCAUACGGGACUGUUCGAAUUUACAGUGGAGCAGCUUAAAAUAAAAUGGGCUAACUUGACCAGGAAGUACAAGGUAUUAUGAAAUUAUCCAUCAAUCCUCCGAUUGUUAUCAACAGCUGUGGAAUUG